CUAUACUUCUUCAAACUCGGAUGUUCAUUAAGUGCAGCCUUCACACAUUAGGGGAGAUUAUAGAAGUACCUGGAAUUUGUGCAAAAGAACAACACUAUGGGUCAGCAGAGCUUAUUCAGCAUAACAGUCACAAAAUCCACAGCUCAUGAUUAAUUGAUACACCCAGUAAUACUUGCAUCUAUCCCAUGAAAUUUUAAACCCAAGUUCAGACCAGUAGAAACAAAACAAAUGGCUUCAAUGAACCUCAAACAACUAGAGAGGAGCCCAGGAAGGUUUUGGCACCACAUAAAAUCAGCAAUUUGAUUUAAAAUAUCUAAAACAAUGACCUAAUCAACUCAAAUGGAAUCCAAAGCCAAUGCUGGAAACUCAGCUCUUAAAAUGUGUAUUUUCUAUUUUCAUCUUUCUAUGGCUAAACUUCUACUGCACAGCCGGAAUUAGAAUCAUUUUCAGGUCGUUCUAAUAGGAUAGUCAAAAAACCCACUGAACUUCAGGGAAUUUGGCAACUCCCAGAAAACUCAAGAUUUCUGGACAUUUUUAGGAAUUUUUGGAGACUGUUGGGUUUGAAAUAUCUGGAAUUUUC
RNAcentral lists this long non-coding RNA (580 nucleotides) under Nicotiana benthamiana. RNAcentral's name for it is "long non-coding RNA (NBEN_LNC035661)". Lineage: Eukaryota; Viridiplantae; Streptophyta; Magnoliopsida; Solanales; Solanaceae. The record is from RNAcentral.